Molecule: ribosomal RNA, 492 nt
Filed under: uncultured bacterium
Lineage: Bacteria
Description: bacterial SSU rRNA
Rfam family: Bacterial small subunit ribosomal RNA
Source: RNAcentral
AAAGGAAUAGACGGGGGCCCGCACAAGCAGUGGAGUAUGUGGUUUAAUUCGAAGCAACGCGAAGAACCUUACCAGGACUUGACAUCCCUCGCUAUCCAAGGAAACUUGGAGUUCCUACGGGACGGGGAGACAGGUGGUGCAUGGUUGUCGUCAGCUCGUGUCGUGAGAUGUUGGGUUAAGUCCCGCAACGAGCGCAACCCCUGUUGUUAGUUGCCAUCAGGUAAAGCUGGGCACUCUAACAAGACUGCCGGUGAUAAAUCGGAGGAAGGUGGGGAUGACGUCAAAUCAUCAUGCCCCUUAUGUUCUGGGCUACACACGUACUACAAUGGCUGCUACAGAGGGGAGCAAAGCCGUAAGGCAGAGCAAAUCCCAAAAAGCAGUCUCAGUUCGGAUUGUGGGCUGAAACCCGCCCACAUGAAGCAGGAAUUGCUAGUAAUGGCAGGUCAGCAUACUGCCGUGAAUACGUUCCCGGGCCUUGUACACACCGCCCGU